AUACGUAGGGGGCGAGCGUUGUCCGGAAUGAUUGGGCGUAAAGGGCGCGUAGGCGGCCUGUUAAGUCUGGAGUGUAAGUCCUGUUUUCAAGAUGGGAAUUGCUUUGGAUACUGAUGGGCUUGAGUGCAGGAGAGGUUAUCGGAAUUCCCGGUGUAGCGGUGAAAUGCGUAGAGAUCGGGAGGAACACCAGUGGCGAAGGCGGGUAACUGGACUGCAACUGACGCUGAGGCGCGAAAGUGUGGGGAGCAAACAGGAUUAGAUACCCUGGUAGUCCACACUGUAAACGAUGAAUGCUAGGUGUAGGGGGUAUCGACCCCUUCUGUGCCGCAGUCAACACAAUAAGCAUUCCGCCUGGGGAGUACGGCCGCAAGGUUGAAACUCAAAUGAAUUGACGGGG
This 397-nucleotide ribosomal RNA is filed under the name uncultured bacterium. RNAcentral describes it as "partial 16S ribosomal RNA". It matches the Rfam family "Bacterial small subunit ribosomal RNA", at positions 523 to 918 of the family's 1533-position model. The record is from RNAcentral.